GCGACGUUAGCUCAGUUGGAUAGAGCACGGGCCUUCUAAGCCCGGGGUCAGAGGUUCGAACCCUCUACGUCGCA
This 74-nucleotide transfer RNA is filed under the name Alcaligenaceae bacterium. RNAcentral's name for it is "tRNA-Arg". It matches the Rfam family "tRNA". Rfam says of the family: Transfer RNA (tRNA) molecules are approximately 80 nucleotides in length. Their secondary structure includes four short double-helical elements and three loops (D, anti-codon, and T loops). Lineage: Bacteria; Pseudomonadati; Pseudomonadota; Betaproteobacteria; Burkholderiales; Alcaligenaceae. The record is from RNAcentral.